RNAcentral lists this ribosomal RNA (500 nucleotides) under Vibrionaceae bacterium ACEMC 17-5. RNAcentral describes it as "bacterial SSU rRNA". It matches the Rfam family "Bacterial small subunit ribosomal RNA", at positions 380 to 872 of the family's 1533-position model. The record is from RNAcentral. Lineage: Bacteria; Pseudomonadati; Pseudomonadota; Gammaproteobacteria; Vibrionales; Vibrionaceae.
AGCCUGAUGCAGCCAUGCCGCGUGUAUGAAGAAGGCCUUCGGGUUGUAAAGUACUUUCAGUUGUGAGGAAGGGUGUGUAGUUAAUAGCUGCACAUCUUGACGUUAGCAACAGAAGAAGCACCGGCUAACUCCGUGCCAGCAGCCGCGGUAAUACGGAGGGUGCGAGCGUUAAUCGGAAUUACUGGGCGUAAAGCGCAUGCAGGUGGUUCAUUAAGUCAGAUGUGAAAGCCCGGGGCUCAACCUCGGAACUGCAUUUGAAACUGGUGAACUAGAGUGCUGUAGAGGGGGGUAGAAUUUCAGGUGUAGCGGUGAAAUGCGUAGAGAUCUGAAGGAAUACCAGUGGCGAAGGCGGCCCCCUGGACAGACACUGACACUCAGAUGCGAAAGCGUGGGGAGCAAACAGGAUUAGAUACCCUGGUAGUCCACGCCGUAAACGAUGUCUACUUGGAGGUUGUGGCCUUGAGCCGUGGCUUUCGGAGCUAACGCGUUAAGUAGACCGC